Molecule: unclassified non-coding RNA, 403 nt
Filed under: fungal sp.
Lineage: Eukaryota; Fungi
Description: partial internal transcribed spacer region
Rfam family: Eukaryotic small subunit ribosomal RNA (bases 1-46)
Source: RNAcentral
AAGUCGUAACAAGGUUUCCGUAGGUGAACCUGCGGAAGGAUCAUUAACACAUCCUUUUCUCUAUCUACACCUAGGCGCACUCGCAGCGAGCCUGCCAGAGCAAGCGUCGGCACUGACCAUGGCCUGAGCGGAGCCGGUUUUUCGGAACCGGAUUCUGCUGGUCUGCCGGCUAUUCGUCCUUCGAGGCGAGCGCUUGACUCGGUACGGUAUACAGCCUCUCGCCAUGGCUGGCCCCCAUUUGACACCCCUUUUUUCACCUGCCUUUCUGUACUGUUUCGCUUUGCCUGUGCCUGAUGCGCCUCGUGCGUGUCGGUUGGGCUGAGCCUCGCAGCGCGCGCCCUUUGCGGCCGCUUGCUGCUUGUACAACGAAACACAACUCUUAACAGCGGAUAUCUCGGUUCUC